UGGAUCAUGUUGUUUAAUUCGAUGAUACGCGAAGAACCUUACCAGGUCUUGACAUCCCUUGCAAAGCUAUGGAGACAUAGUGGAGGUUAUCAAGGAGACAGGUGGUGCAUGGUUGUCGUCAGCUCGUGUCGUGAGAUGUUGGGUUAAGUCCCGCAACGAGCGCAACCCUUAUUGCUAGUUACCAUCAUUAAGUUGGGGACUCUAGCGAGACUGCCAGUGAUAAACUGGAGGAAGGUGGGAUGACGUCAAGUCCUCAUGGCCUUUAUGUCUAGGGCUACACACGUACUACAAUGGCAGGUACAAAGGGCAGCGACACAGCGAUGUGAUGCGAAUCCCGAAAAGCCUGUCUCAGUCCGGAUCGGAGUCUGCAACUCGACUCCGUGAAGUUGGAAUCGCUAGUAAUCGUGGAUCAGCAUGCCACGGUGAAUACGUUCCCGGGCCUU
Molecule: ribosomal RNA, 443 nt
Filed under: uncultured Acholeplasma sp.
Lineage: Bacteria; Bacillati; Mycoplasmatota; Mollicutes; Acholeplasmatales; Acholeplasmataceae
Description: bacterial SSU rRNA
Rfam family: Bacterial small subunit ribosomal RNA
Source: RNAcentral